Hibiscus syriacus is the source of this 374-nucleotide long non-coding RNA. RefSeq lists it as uncharacterized. The transcript has 3 exons. The record is from RefSeq and is a predicted model, not a curated record. Lineage: Eukaryota; Viridiplantae; Streptophyta; Magnoliopsida; Malvales; Malvaceae.
GGUAAUUGAUAAAGUUCAGGAAGAAACGAAGAGCCGUGCAGAUAGGAAGCCUCCUGUUUUAGGCCGUGGUAGAGGUAGAGGUAGAGGUAGAGAAGAUGGUCCUGGAAGGCAACCAAAAGGAGCUCGGUAUGGAUUUGAAGAUGGUGCCAAGGGUCCAGGAGGACGAGCCAGGGGUGGCUCAGGUGGAAAGACCAGCGGAAGCAGAGGUGGUGGCCGAGGUUAAGGUUGACGACGUGCUGCUUUAUCUUGGGCAACAUUGCUAUUUUUAGAAGCAGGUUGCAUCCAAUCCACCGAAAUCAGUUUCUAUCGUUUGGUUUUUUUUUCUGUCAGAAUGGGUGUCCAAAGAACCAAUAUUAUGUAACAUUGCAGAAUUC